RNAcentral lists this long non-coding RNA (316 nucleotides) under Lathyrus oleraceus (garden pea). RNAcentral's name for it is "Pisum sativum (pea) long non-coding RNA (PSAT_LNC040383)". Lineage: Eukaryota; Viridiplantae; Streptophyta; Magnoliopsida; Fabales; Fabaceae. The record is from RNAcentral.
UUUUUUUUGUGAACUUUGGUGGAGUUGUGAGAAGAAGAAAAUGGGUUUGGAGAGGUUGAAGAAGGUGAAAAUGGUGAAAAUGAGGAUUCUGCCCGUUAAAGUUGCAGACUUCAUGGCGCCUGCCAUGAAGCUUAUGGCGCCCGCCAUGUCUUCGGGUUUGGUUGGGCCGGAUUUGGUCAGUGCUACUUGGGCCUCAACUCUUUUGUCAUCAUUUCUGUAGGAAUGGGGGUGCACAUAGGUUUCUAUGAAUGCUGUUUUUUGAUUUAAGCUUGAUAAAACAAAAUAAAAUAAAACAAAAUAAAAUAGUAAAGUAAAA